This 1410-nucleotide long non-coding RNA is filed under the name Ornithorhynchus anatinus (platypus). RNAcentral describes it as "lncRNA (ENSOANG00000047653.1)". Lineage: Eukaryota; Metazoa; Chordata; Mammalia; Monotremata; Ornithorhynchidae. The record is from RNAcentral.
GACGCUACCGCGCCUGCGCGAAGCUCCGAGCGCCCUCUCCCGCCCUUCGGGGAGGCGCGUGCGGGACGCACGGCGCAGGCGCGGCCCCUCCUCCCUCCGCCCCCUCCGCCCCCUCCCCCCUCCAUCUCCUUCCCUCCCGGCCGCUUCCGCGUUGUCGGCGGAGCGAUCCGGGAGGCUGGUGAUGCGGUCCAGUCGGUCGAGCUGUCACUGAGGAAAUGCUUUAUCACAUUCAGAUGCCAGUCUGGGUGAAGCAAGACCAAAUUGCAGAACUAAGAUUGUCUGCUGGGCUUUGAAGGUAAAAUAUCUAAACCACUGGAACCUACCCUGACUCUGGAAGACGGGCUGGAGGGAGACGGAGAGGAAGGGAGGAGGAUCAAACGGGAGAGGAAGGGAAAAGGAGCAAAAGAGGGAGGGAGACGGGGAAGAAGAGAUAGACAGGGAAUAGACACACCCUGUUGCUUCCGUCUCUCGACUUGGAAAAGAAUUCUUGUUAUUGCUUGGCUUUUUCUUCUAGCUGGAAACUCUAGGGAAGCCGCAGACGUCCGUUUCCGGGGGAAAAUCUUCAGCCACCUCGGUGUUCCCUGCCCCCUCCCCUCCGUUGAAAUCCAUGCAAAAUAGAUCAGAUAUGGGGAGCAGCCAGCCCCUGUCCAUCGCCGAUGGCGGCAAGAGGAAGAAGAAGAAACGUCGAACCCGGCCCGCUGACACCUUUCCCGGAAAGUUUGAAGGUUGGUCAAGCCCCCGGCCAGGAGGAGCCCGAGAAGCCAGUCCCGUCUCGUGGGUGAGAGGAUCCAUGCCGUGGGCGAGAGGGUGUCGGGGAUGGGCAGUUAGAGCCUUCCACAAACUAGUCGAGCAUAGCAUUCUUUCAGUUGUAUUUACUGAACACUUGUCGUGUGCUGAGCACUGUAUUAAGCGCUUGGGAAAGGCAAUAGAAUAAUAAGCAGACAAAUUCCCUAGUCACAACGAGCUUACGGUCAAGAUGCCGCAAAACGGCUUGGCUCAUCUUGGGAGAAUCGCUUGGGGCGGCCAGUUAGGGGAGCUGGCUUCUAGUCCCUUCAGCUUGCUGGGUCACCCUGGGCCAGGGAGGUCUUCUGUGGGCCUCAGUUUCCCCAUUUUUCAGUCUGUCAGAACAUUCAUUCAAUAGUAUUUAUUGAGCGCUUACUAUGUGCAGAGCACUGUACUAAGCUCUUGGAAUAUACAAAUCGUCAAUAGAUAGAGACAGUCCCUGCCCUUUGACAGGCUUACAGUCUAAUCGGGGGAGACGGGCAGACAAGAACAAUGGCAAUAAAUAGAGUCAAGGGGAAGAACAUCUCAUAAAAACAAUGGCAAAUAAAUAGAAUCAGAGUGAUGUACAUCUCAUUAAACAAAAUAAAUACGGUGAUGUAGAUAUGUAGAGUUGAGCGGACGAGUACA